AGCAGCCGCGGUAAUUCCAGCUCCAAUAGCGUAUAUUAAAGUUGUUGCAGUUAAAAAGCUCGUAGUUGAAUUUCGGGAUCAAUUAAUUGGUCGUGCCUCUGGUACGUACUGAUUUUAUUGGUUUCUCCCUUCUGACGAACCAUGAUGUCAUUAAUUUGAUGUCGUGGAGAAUCAGGACUGUUACUUUGAAAAAAAUUAGAGUGUUUAAAGCAAGCUAACGCUUGAAUACAUUAGCAUGGAAUAAUGAAAUAGGACGUUUGAUUCUAUUUUGUUGGUUUCUAGGAUCGACGUAAUGAUUAAUAGGGAUAGUUGGGGGCAUUAGUAUUCAAUUGUCAGAGGUGAAAUUCUUGGAUUUAUUGAAGACUAACUACUGCGAAAGCAUUUGCCAAGGAUGUUUUCAUUAAUCAAGAACGAAAGUUAGGGGAUCGAAGACGAUCAGAUACCGUCGUA
RNAcentral lists this ribosomal RNA (450 nucleotides) under uncultured Glomeromycotina. Its description in RNAcentral is "SSU rRNA". It matches the Rfam family "Eukaryotic small subunit ribosomal RNA", at positions 569 to 1022 of the family's 1831-position model. The record is from RNAcentral. Lineage: Eukaryota; Fungi; Glomeromycota.